RNAcentral lists this non-coding RNA (30 nucleotides) under Drosophila melanogaster (fruit fly). RNAcentral also lists the same sequence under 25 other names. The record is from RNAcentral. Lineage: Eukaryota; Metazoa; Arthropoda; Insecta; Diptera; Drosophilidae.
GUUGACCUCGGAUCAGGUAGGGAUACCCGC